AGAGUUUGAUCCUGGCUCAGGACAAACGCUGGCGGCGUGCCUAACACAUGCAAGUCAAGGAGAACGUCCCCUUCGGGGGACUAUUAAACUGGCGGACGGGUGAGUAACGCGUAGGUAACCUGCCCCAGAGACCGGGACAACCCAUCGAAAGACGGGCUAAUACCGGAUGAUGCAGCGGAUCCUCAGGGAUAUGUUGUUAAAGGGGGCCUUCGGGUCCUGCUUUGGGAUGGGCCUGCGUCCGAUUAGUUAGUUGGUAAGAUAAAAGCUUACCAAGGCGAUGAUCGGUAGCUGGUCUGAGAGGAUGAUCAGCCACACUGGGAUUGAGAUACGGCCCAGACUCCUACGGGAGGCAGCAGUGGGGAAUCUUGCGCAAUGGGCGAAAGCCUGACGCAGCAACGCCGCGUGACUGAUGAAGCUUCUAGGAGUGUAAAGGUCUGUCGUGAGGGAAGAACAGUAUCCAUGUAAAUAGCAUGGGCAUUUGACGGUACCUCACAAGAAAGCACCGGCUAACUUCGUGCCAGCAGCCGCGGUAAUACGAGGGGUGCUAGCGUUGUCCGGAAUCACUGGGCGUAAAGGGCGCGUAGGCGUCUUAGCAAGCCUUGAUUGAAAUCCCCCGGCUCAACCGGGGAACUGGUCAGGGAACUGCUAGGAUAGAGUUUGGUAGGGGAGAGCGGAAUUCCUGGUGUAGCGGUGAAAUGCGUAGAUAUCGGGAAGAACACCAGUGGCGAAGGCGCUCUGCUGGGCCAUAACUGACGCUCAUGGACGAAAGCCAGGGGAGCGAAAGGGAUUAGAUACCCCUGUAGUCCUGGCCGUAAACGAUGA
This 822-nucleotide ribosomal RNA is filed under the name marine metagenome. Its description in RNAcentral is "bacterial SSU rRNA". It matches the Rfam family "Bacterial small subunit ribosomal RNA", at positions 8 to 812 of the family's 1533-position model. The record is from RNAcentral.